UCUUCAUCAUUUAAAUCUGCAGGUUCUGGCACCUGAGAGAGCAAUCACAUGCCAGGUGCCUCAACUCCCAGAAGAAAGGAGGAGUGGGGCAACUUAAGAGUUGGAUCCAAAGCAGCUGAACUGCAAACAGGGAGAGCUGCAAGGGAGGGGAUGAAGAAAAACCACUUCAGUGGUGGAGAGAAAGCAUCAAGACAGCAGGAAAUAGUGCUGACUGACUACUCCAUCAAGUACCAGUGCCGGGAUUCAGGGGACACACUGCAGCUGAAGUCUGUCAUGAAUGAGGGGAAAAAGCACUAUGGAGCAGAAAAUCAGAAGCCCUAUCAGAAGAGACCCUGCAAGCCUCUAAGUAAAUGCCGGGAACUCUCCUGCAGCAGCCAGCUUUAAUGAGGUACUGCAACACCAACCAGUGUAAUUCAAAGGCAGAAAAUCCAGUGUCUUUCUGAAAAACAACACACUCUCAUCCCAUUCUCACCAGUGCUACAGCUUAACGUGCGUCAAUUGGCUUUUAUGUUUUUGUGGAAGGAUACAGUUUGACCUAAACCACCAGAGGUAAAUG
This 556-nucleotide long non-coding RNA is filed under the name Calidris pugnax (ruff). Its description in RNAcentral is "lncRNA (ENSCPUG00000017039.1)". The record is from RNAcentral. Lineage: Eukaryota; Metazoa; Chordata; Aves; Charadriiformes; Scolopacidae.